CACUGGCCUGGUCCUGGUCCAGACUUACAGGAGCUGAUCCUCUGUAAGACUUACAUACAGCUAACUAAUCAUCCGGCAUCAUGGCAGCUGGCCUGGAGCCUUCUCUUCACCUAUGCCUACCCAUCCUAUACUAUUUUUCUAUGUGAAAACCCUCAAGAGUCUUCUAACACUGGUUUUUCUGAACAUCAAAAAAAAAUCUUGUCUCCAGGAAGAUACAUAAAUACUUGGAUUUUUGAUUGGGAACCCAGAGACAGGAAAUUGGAAAUCUUCAUUUCUCUACGUGUCAAUGGAUAUCAGCCAUGCUGACUAAAAAGCUCCUCACUUUAUGUAC
Molecule: long non-coding RNA, 331 nt
Filed under: Rattus norvegicus (Norway rat)
Lineage: Eukaryota; Metazoa; Chordata; Mammalia; Rodentia; Muridae
Description: long non-coding RNA NONRATT030769
Source: RNAcentral